CCCCAAAUAAUUUUGCUUUAUCCGUGAUCUCUCAUCAAGGAAAAAACUGCUCUGUAUAUGUGUUUCACAUCACAACGCUUAUGAGAUUAAGAAAUAUAGGAAGCGAUGAAGAAUGGGCCAGUUACAAUAUUCAGAUAUCAUAUAUAGCUGCCACUUACAGAAAAUAUGAUUACAAGUAGGAUUUACAAUCUUUUCCUCAAAUCAUUAAAUGGGUUUAGCUACUGUGAGUUCCAGUAUGGUCGUUUAUUGAUCACAAAGGAAUUGCUUCUGCCAUUGGAAGUAUGACAUGAGUCCUGACUUCUGCAGAAUGUGCAUCUUAUCUUCACUGAUAUAAACAAUCUCGGGACAUUAUGGAGGCAUCAGAUGGUCGGGG
Molecule: long non-coding RNA, 373 nt
Organism: Triticum dicoccoides
Lineage: Eukaryota; Viridiplantae; Streptophyta; Magnoliopsida; Poales; Poaceae
Exons: 5
Source: RefSeq, a predicted model, not a curated record